RNAcentral lists this ribosomal RNA (446 nucleotides) under uncultured bacterium. RNAcentral's name for it is "partial 16S ribosomal RNA". It matches the Rfam family "Bacterial small subunit ribosomal RNA", at positions 338 to 795 of the family's 1533-position model. The record is from RNAcentral.
CCUACGGGAGGCAGCAGUCGAGAAUCAUUCACAAUGGGGGAAACCCUGAUGGUGCGACGCCGCGUGGGGGAAUGAAGGUCUUCGGAUUGUAAACCCCUGUCAUGUGGGAGCAAAUUAAAAAGAUAGUACCACAAGAGGAAGAGACGGCUAACUCUGUGCCAGCCGCCGCGGUAAUACAGAGGUCUCAAGCGUUGUUCGGAAUCACUGGGCGUAAGGCGUGCGUAGGCUGUUUCGUAAGUCGUGUGUGAAAGGCGCGGGCUCAACCCGCGGACGGCACAUGAUACUGCGAGACUAGAGUAAUGGAGGGGGAACCGGAAUUCUCGGUGUAGCAGUGAAAUGCGUAGAUAUCGAGAGGAACACUCGUGGCGAAGGCGGGUUCCUGGACAUUAACUGACGCUGAGGCACGAAGGCCAGGGGAGCGAAAGGGAUUAGAUACCCGAGUAGUC